RNAcentral lists this ribosomal RNA (615 nucleotides) under uncultured bacterium. RNAcentral's name for it is "bacterial SSU rRNA". It matches the Rfam family "Bacterial small subunit ribosomal RNA", at positions 102 to 713 of the family's 1533-position model. The record is from RNAcentral.
ACGGGUGAGUAAUGUCUGGGAAACUGCCUGAUGGAGGGGGAUAACUACUGGAAACGGUAGCUAAUACCGCAUAACGUCGCAAGACCAAAGAGGGGGACCUUCGGGCCUCUUGCCAUCGGAUGUGCCCAGAUGGGAUUAGCUAGUAGGUGGGGUAACGGCUCACCUAGGCGACGAUCCCUAGCUGGUCUGAGAGGAUGACCAGCCACACUGGAACUGAGACACGGUCCAGACUCCUACGGGAGGCAGCAGUGGGGAAUAUUGCACAAUGGGCGCAAGCCUGAUGCAGCCAUGCCGCGUGUAUGAAGAAGGCCUUCGGGUUGUAAAGUACUUUCAGCGGGGAGGAAGGCGAUAAGGUUAAUAACCUUGUCGAUUGACGUUACCCGCAGAAGAAGCACCGGCUAACUCCGUGCCAGCAGCCGCGGUAAUACGGAGGGUGCAAGCGUUAAUCGGAAUUACUGGGCGUAAAGCGCACGCAGGCGGUCUGUCAAGUCGGAUGUGAAAUCCCCGGGCUCAACCUGGGAACUGCAUUCGAAACUGGCAGGCUAGAGUCUUGUAGAGGGGGGUAGAAUUCCAGGUGUAGCGGUGAAAUGCGUAGAGAUCUGGAGGAAUACCGGC